ACCCUGGGAUAGCUCAGCUGAUAGAGCAUGAGACCCUUAAUCUCAGAGUCAUGGGUUUGAGCCUCAUGUUGGGCA
Molecule: non-coding RNA, 75 nt
Organism: Podarcis lilfordi (Lilford's wall lizard)
Lineage: Eukaryota; Metazoa; Chordata; Lepidosauria; Squamata; Lacertidae
Source: the annotation of a GenBank genome assembly